Molecule: long non-coding RNA, 1372 nt
Filed under: Oryctolagus cuniculus (rabbit)
Lineage: Eukaryota; Metazoa; Chordata; Mammalia; Lagomorpha; Leporidae
Description: lncRNA (ENSOCUG00000038448.1)
Source: RNAcentral
CUUAAAAAAUAAAAAGGAACACAGGAACGAAGGAAGGCUUACAUAAAAUUUUCAAAUUCAAGAUAAAUGUGAGGAUUCUCAUUCAUUUAAAUACUUAGAAAUAAAAAAGUGCUGUCUCAAUCUUGAGAGUUGAAGUAGUAGUAUUAAAAAAGAAUAGUUUACUUAACAAGCACUAUCAGUAGAAAAUAUAAAUUUGCUCAAGAAAGUUUUGAAGAUAUUUAUGGAUAAACUGUGAUUUUUUAAAACAAUGUACUCAUUUCAAGUAGCUCUGGGAAAUUGAUCAUCUUUAAAUAAAUACGAAUCCUGACUUUAUUUUUAAAAAAGAAAGAAUCCUGACUUUCUGAACAAUUCAUGUAGAAUUGAAGAGGGUGGACUCAGAGUACCACUGCCUGGUUUGUCAAUACAGUGUCUCCACUUAAUGUGUGAUAUUUGAGUGUUAUUUAAUUUUACUAAGUCUCAUUUUAAUCUCUAGCAGGGAAGUAUGCCAGACUGUCUCUCACUGGGUGGUCCUGAAGUUUUUAGCAGCGUUAGACACAUAUGAAGUACUGAAAAAUGCAAGUUAUUAUUCUAUACCAUAAAAUGCAUAUUUGGUGACACUUUGAACUUUCAAGAACAAAGAUAUCCUGUACAUUCCUUACAGCUAUUCUAAAGAUCAGAUAUUGAGCGUGUCGGAAACUUGCAACAUCUACCCUAUUUUUAACCUCUUUUGUAGUAUUCCCAAUGGUCCAAUUUUGAAAAUAUAGAACUCCUGAAGCUUAUUAUAUGUCCAAAUCUGUCAUCAGUUGUAUUUGGAAAUAUUCUGCACCGGUUUCUGGCCACUGAGAUGAAGUUGGAAAUAAAGGAUGCCACUACCAAGUUGAUUUCUUCAGUCUCCUCUCUUUUUUCCUUCUCGUUCAGUCUUGCAGGUAAGAAAUAAUUUUUUUAGUGUUAAAUUUGUGAUAUUUAGACAUUGCAGGACUAUAUUAAAUCAUUCCAAUACCAUUUACUAAACAACUUAUGCAAGCCAUACAUGCUCCUAGUUAGAUAGUUACCAAUGUACCUCUGAAAAUGAACAUUGCUUAAAGAGAAUUAUCUAUGAAUCUUUGGCACUAUCUUAAUUAAAUAUGGUAUGUCUAGUCCUCAGCUCAAUAGAUACAGCAUUUAUAGUCAUAUUUAGGAAAAUGGCUUGUUCAGCUCCAAGCAUAGCUCAGUGAUAAAAAAACAGUACAACCAGCGAGGAGAGCGAGCCUGGGAGUAGCUUCAGAAAGCCCCAUUAAAGGAUGACUGUGUAAGUGGGCAGAGGUAAGAACUUGAGAAUCAUCAAGGGUCAAGGAAGUGAAAUGACCUCUCAAAGAGCGUUCCCUUAGGAAGCUUUCAGCAGUUGAGGGCAACU